Long non-coding RNA from Centrocercus urophasianus (Greater sage-grouse), 353 nucleotides. RefSeq lists it as uncharacterized. Lineage: Eukaryota; Metazoa; Chordata; Aves; Galliformes; Phasianidae. The transcript has 3 exons. The record is from RefSeq and is a predicted model, not a curated record.
CCGGGGGUCAGGAGGUUUUCCCGCCCGUCCAGGGUGCGGCUGUGGGCAGCUCUGCGGGGCUUCGGCUCCGCCCGCGGCCCUGAGGAGAUGUUUACUCUUCAGUUAAUGCUACCUUACAGUGACUAUCCUACUGACCUUCAUCUGGUUCAAGCAACUGGAGUAUUAAACUAUAACAACUGCAGAAAGGAUUGGAGCAAGAAAAUGUGAGCUAUUCCUCCCCCACUUUCCUGCCAGAAAGUAACUCUUGCUCUUACUCUGUGCUAUGGAACCAGUACAGCAGGAGGUUCUGAGGGCUGGGGGUCAGGAGAAGGAAGAUGUCUCUUGGAUCAGUUCUCACUUCCCCUGCUGUGAGG